CGAGAAGCAGGCCUUGGGGAUGUUUUCCUCCAGUUGCUGUGCUUUGCCUCAGAUUUUCCAAAUCCUGCUCAGGAGGUUGUUCCAUUGACUCGGGCAGAAUGGCUUUAUCCCUCAUCCUGGGUCUGGGUGCCUGCACUGCCAGCCCUGGAGUUCUUGGGACCGACUCACUCAGUGAUGCUGGGUCCCCACUGAGUGACCGAGGAGCUUAGUCCUUGCCCUCGGAGAGAGCUAGGUUUCGCCUUUGACCAGCACGUGAAUCGUGUGAGAGCAGGUCUCCGAGUGCUCGCAUCCCUUCCCUGAAGUCUGCGGCCUGUGGUUUACUCAUGCUGUAUUUCCCACGAGCUGGUGUUCAGUUACCUUCGUGCAUUUCUUCUGCGUGGACCUCCAGGCUCCAAGCGCUGACUGCGUAGGAGAAUAUUUUUCAAAACGAUUGCAUCCUGUGAAUGGAAAGAGAAGAAACUCAACAACAUAACAGAUUCACUAAUGGGUCGACGAAGAGACCAAGUACUGAACAAGGAGCAGAGAGUACGAGGAUUGGAAAAGUGUCAUUCGCUUCAGUCAUGUCCGACUCUUUGUGACCCCCAUGGACUGCAGCCCUCCAGGCUCCUCUGUUCAUAGGAUUUUCCAUGAGAAAAUUCUUUCCAGAGAAGCACACUGGAAUGGGUUGCCAUUCCCUUCUCCAGGGGAUCUUCCCAAGGUGGGGAUCGAACCCAGGUCUCCUGCAUUGCAGGCAGAUUCUUUAUUGUCUGAGCCACAAAGGAGAAAUGAAAUCUGCAAAGCAUCGGCCCUGGUAGGUGCAGCUUCCAUAGCCUCAGACUCAGCCGAGCAGAGGGUUGACUGCACUUUGCCAUCUUAUGUAAGAGACUUGGGCAUCUUGGGAGUCUGAUAUCUCCGGAGCUCCUGGAACCCAGAGUCCCCUGCUCACCUUUCUCCUCUGGCAACGUGUAGAAAUCAAAUUCCAGAAGGGUCUAAUAUAACGUUCGAAUUAAUGAGUUUUGCAAGGUCACCGUGCUGACACCCAUGGUGCUGCGUGUCAUGUGACAGAGGUAUUUUCCAAAGACGCCCACAGCAACCUCUUCUGCCCACACAGUCCUCUGCAGUGUGACCUUACCCCUCCCCUCUCAAGGGAUGGGGCUUCCUGCCCCUCCCCUCAAAUCUGAGUGACCCAAAGAAGGGUGCUGCAGAAGGGUACGCAGAAGUGGUGCUGCGUACCUCCAAGCUUCAGUGCGGGGAGGCGGAGAGCUUCUGGAAGGGCUGGCUCUGCAGGGUGGGCCUCGGGGCUCUCCCUCUCAGAACCAACGCCGAGCUGUGAGACGGCUCGUGAAGGGGUCUAUGACCCGUCCCCGAGGUGGCCCGGCACCCCAUAUGUGAGCAGAGAAGCUUCCAGAUGCUUCCCCCAGACAUUUAAGCCACCCCCACUUUCACACCCAGGGACAGAGGGGUGACAUUCUCC
This is a long non-coding RNA of Bos taurus (domestic cattle), 1453 nucleotides long. The record is from Ensembl. Lineage: Eukaryota; Metazoa; Chordata; Mammalia; Artiodactyla; Bovidae.